UAUCACUCCCUGACACCCUAUAAACCUGAGACUCCAUGACCAGUCAAAGAAGGCAUUUGGGCAGUGAGCAGUCAGUGAAGACUUGCUGAAUGGAAUGAAAUGGAAAGAAAGAACAUGACAAACAGUCUGCCUAACAGCUGCCUGACAUCUCCCUGGUAAAGUCACCUGCUCAUGGAGGUUCUCUGUAGAUUGACAUUUUACAAAUUAGCAUCCCCUUCAAGCUGAAAGAGCACCAGGGAGCCACCUCAUUGGGAGGCACGCUAGAGUAAUAGCAGCAACACCACUCAUGGGUUGGAGGAGCCGGAGAAGAGAAGCAAAUAAAC
RNAcentral lists this long non-coding RNA (323 nucleotides) under Equus caballus (horse). RNAcentral describes it as "lncRNA (ENSECAG00000056066.1)". Lineage: Eukaryota; Metazoa; Chordata; Mammalia; Perissodactyla; Equidae. The record is from RNAcentral.